RNAcentral lists this long non-coding RNA (520 nucleotides) under Cricetulus griseus (Chinese hamster). Its description in RNAcentral is "lncRNA (ENSCGRG00000025974.1)". Lineage: Eukaryota; Metazoa; Chordata; Mammalia; Rodentia; Cricetidae. The record is from RNAcentral.
CCUGAGCCUCGAGGGAGUGAUACACCUGUCCCAUUCAAGGUCGAGUGCUCCACCAUCAUUUACUCUCUGUGCUGUGUCAAUUAGAGAUUUCUGCAGUAACCACCACUGCUGCAGCAAGAAGUUUCUCUGAUGAAGGCUGGGCAGAGCAAUAAUCUUAAAUGAUGACCACCCAGUAUUGGAUUACCUAGCUGUGGAAGUUCCAGCAGAAUUCUGUUUGGCCUCGAUGCUAUUAUAGACAAGCCUGGGAAGCCAUCAGUUCAGAGGACUAGAGCUAACUGCAAGCAGAAACCAACUAGAUCACCCUCGGAAAGAUCACAGCUCACAAGUGGAAAUAGAAAUUCUGUGUCCAAGCUGGUCCCAGCUUGGUCCAUAAGAUAAUUAUAUUGAUUAGAUUAUCCCAGUUGCUCCAUAAGAUAAUUGUAUUGAUUAGAUUGAGACUUUCAUUAAAAUAAAAACACAAAAUUAUAUAUAAAAAAGAACAACGGUAAAGGCUUGCAAGGUGAUGUUAAGGAGAUGGCUC